AGAAGUGAUGUUGCAGUGGUAAAGAAUAACCCAGAAAACAAUGCAAAGCUGUGGAAAGUGAAGCACUUGGUGAAAAUAACUCCCCUAAGAAUUGCAGACAACUUACCAGAAGACGCUGAUCCAGCAUGUUGCUUCUUGAAGGAAACUGGAGACUUCAUAUACUCCCCCCACAUCAAGGUGGAUGAAAAAGUGCUUCAGGAGGAUGAAACAAUAACAGCUACAAAAUGGGAUCAGAAGUUUGUUGACAAGGAGACACGCAAGAACUGGCAACAUCCCUGGCAAUUAAAGCUUUGUUAGCUUCUUGAACUUUACUGAGUAUGGAGUAGAUUGUCUGGGAAGUAUUCCAUGUUACAAAAGUAAAGUUAGUUUCAGAUAUAAACAACUCGAAAACCAUUUGUUUGAUAUUUCAAUAAAAUGAUGUAAGAGGAAUGAUGUUUCAGCAUUUUAUAUUCUGAUUUAGAAUUUGUUAUUAGAAUUAUUUACCUUGAAUUGUUAGAUUGUCUAUCCCUCUUCUGUUUAGGUAACAAUAUUAUUUGGCUACAGUCAGUUUAGGCAGUGUCUAGAAUAGGGUGUACUGAUGACCACCCCCCCCAAAAAAAAAAAAAAAAAAAAAAAAAAGUUAUAGCUUAUGGGUUAAUUUAUCUCCAGUGCUAAUGGGGCAAUUUGAGGUUAUUAGGUUGUAUUUGUUAUCUAACUGAAAUAUGCACUCUAUGAAAAAAAGAA
This is a long non-coding RNA of Penaeus monodon (black tiger shrimp), 723 nucleotides long. RefSeq lists it as uncharacterized. NCBI's taxonomy places the organism in Eukaryota, Metazoa, Arthropoda, Malacostraca, Decapoda, Penaeidae. The transcript has 2 exons. The record is from RefSeq and is a predicted model, not a curated record.